CGUCAAAUCAUCAUGCCCCUUAUGUUCUGGGCUACACACGUGCUACAAUGGGCGGUACAGACGGAAGCGAAGCCGUGAGGCGGAGCAAAUCCGAGAAAGCCGUUCUCAGUUCGGAUUGCAGGCUGCAACUCGCCUGCAUGAAGUUGGAAUCGCUAGUAAUCGCGAAUCAGCAUGUCGCGGUGAAUACGUUCCCGGGCCUU
RNAcentral lists this ribosomal RNA (200 nucleotides) under uncultured prokaryote. RNAcentral's name for it is "partial 16S ribosomal RNA". It matches the Rfam family "Bacterial small subunit ribosomal RNA", at positions 1183 to 1382 of the family's 1533-position model. The record is from RNAcentral.